This 615-nucleotide long non-coding RNA is filed under the name Homo sapiens (human). Its description in RNAcentral is "long non-coding RNA NONHSAT219289.1". Lineage: Eukaryota; Metazoa; Chordata; Mammalia; Primates; Hominidae. The record is from RNAcentral.
UUUUUUUUUUUUACAAACAGUAAGAAACACUUUAUUAUAACUUUACAAUAUAUAAAUAGCUUGGGUCAAAUCUGUGCUUUCUGGCAGCCGGGCACCAAGUCUGCUCCCCUGCAGGCUCCUGCCUUCCUUCACAUUGCACUGUUCAUUGGGUGGCUCUAGCCUGGGGCCUGGUGGUCGAGGCUGGAGUCAAGGGGCUGGGCGGCCCAGUCCCACCCUCCAUCUCCUCAUGCGGUGGCCUGUGCCUGUCAUCUGCUUGGGUUGCAGCUGGUGUGGAAGGACCGCUCCUCAGGGGUCAGGCCAGCAAAGAAGGGGUGCAGCAGGGCCUCGGCCAGUGUGAUGCGCCGGGCAGGGUCAAAUUCUAACAUCCUCCUCAUCAGGUCAAACAGCUGCACGUGCUCCAGGGAGUCUUGGAGCAUGUAACUCUGCUCAGGGACACAAGGUGCCUCAGUGUGACGGCAGGGUCGUGGGAAGCCACAGCAGGUCCCCUUGCCUCUGGGAUGCCUUGCUGGACUGGAUCGAGGAGGCAGUGAUGCCUCCUUGGAGGACUCUACUUCCGCCCUCCUGGACAAUGAGCAGCUCCUUUCCUUUCAUGCCUGUUUAACGUUUUGCUCGGAA